AGAGUUUGAUCUUGGCUCAGGAUGAACGCUGGCGGCGUGCUUAACACAUGCAAGUCGAACGGGAAUUACUUUAUUGAAACUUCGGUCGACAUGAUUUAAUUCUAGUGGCGGACGGGUGAGUAACGCGUGGGUAACCUGCCUUAUACAGGGGGAUAACAGUCAGAAAUGACUGCUAAUACCGCAUAAGCGCACAGAGCUGCAUGGCUCGGUGUGAAAAACUCCGGUGGUAUAAGAUGGACCCGCGUUGGAUUAGCUAGUUGGUGAGGUAACGGCCCACCAAGGCGACGAUCAGUAGCCGGCCUGAGAGGGUGAACGGCCACAUUGGGACUGAGACACGGCCCAGACUCCUACGGGAGGCAGCAGUGGGGAAUAUUGCACAAUGGGGGAAACCCUGAUGCAGCGACGCCGCGUGAAGGAAGAAGUAUCUCGGUAUGUAAACUUCUAUCAGCAGGGAAGAAAAUGACGGUACCUGACUAAGAAGCCCCGGCUAACUACGUGCCAGCAGCCGCGGUAAUACGUAGGGGGCAAGCGUUAUCCGGAUUUACUGGGUGUAAAGGGAGCGUAGACGGCAAGGCAAGUCUGAUGUGAAAACCCAGGGCUUAACCCUGGGACUGCAUUGGAAACUGUCUGGCUCGAGUGCCGGAGAGGUAAGCGGAAUUCCUAGUGUAGCGGUGAAAUGCGUAGAUAUUAGGAAGAACACCAGUGGCGAAGGCGGCUUACUGGACGGUAACUGACGUUGAGGCUCGAAAGCGUGGGGAGCAAACCAGGAUUAGAUACCCUGGUAGUCCACGCCGUAAACGAUG
Molecule: ribosomal RNA, 803 nt
Filed under: uncultured bacterium
Lineage: Bacteria
Description: bacterial SSU rRNA
Rfam family: Bacterial small subunit ribosomal RNA
Source: RNAcentral